UACUGCAUGUUGGAAGCCAGGGCCCUGUCUUACAAUGAGGAUGAGAGAAAACAAGCUGAGAAAAGGCAUGCUACGGCCACAGGGGCUGUUUUGUAUAGGGACAGGGAGAGGACUUAAACACAGGAAGUUUAAGUCCCUUCCAUCAUGCUAAUCCUGGGCCCUUCUUCAGAUACCUGACCGUGCCACCUCAUGUCCUUGGCCAAGCUGCCCAAACCCUCAUGCCUCAGCCUCCUUGUCCAUAUCACUCUGUCCUCUGGCAGGCGUUGUGUGUGCAGGCACGGAUUUAAGCAGCUCAGUGUCCUCCAUUCAUCCCUGUCUCUUGCUCUCCCGCUGCGGUGCUGACAACUCAUAUAUUCCCGGCAUUGCACUGUGGUUUCUCUCUGGCUUUGGGAGCCCAUGUGCCAAAUACUGCUGAUCAGCCUGCUGACCAGCUGCAUCUGGUGCAUCCAAAGCCAGCCAGAAGCUGUGGAGCGUAUGCUCCUCUGUGAUGGCUGCCUGGUGCUGAUCACAGAACAUGGGUCAGGCUGGUGGUGCAGGGAUCAGGCAGAGACCAGCUCUGUCACCCACAUCCAGUUCUGUGCUCAGUGAGCAAGCUGCCAGCCCCUGACACCGAUGUGGGGAUCAGCUCUGAAACUGAGGGGCUUAUGCUGCUCUCUGUCCACCUGCAGCACAGCAAAGACUUUCUAAAAUGGGAGCGUAUAUCUAGACCCUCCUUAACAGUCUUCUGCUCUGUCCUGAACAUGGUGUGACCAACUGGGGAGUUGCUCUGGGAAGCAUGAACUGGGUGUAUCCAUGUCAUAUUACAAAUCCCAGGUUAAGCAUAGACCUUCUUUGCCUUCUCUCUCUGCCUUUUGCCUCUGUGCUAAUCUGAACUCCAUAGCAAGCAGCAAAAGAAAUUCCUGCACCUGGCCCAGAGUCCACAGUAAUGGUAGUGACAUUUGGAUGAUCAUACACUGGGGCAGAGCAUGCUUGGGCAAAGGAGUGGCCUCCUAACUUGUUUUCCCAGCCUGAGCUGGUGGUAAUUAAGCAACAGAUGAUGUGACUGGGAUUUUGAUCACCUAUUAAUGCUAAUCAGGUAGGUCAGCCGAAACAGAGGGUGUGAUAUUUCAAAAGAGGCCCUUCAAGGACCCCUUUCAGGAAAGGGGGUUUGGAGCUGGGGUUAUACUGGGUGGUUUAGCAUGAGGCUUGGAUAUGUGUAGUGGAGGAACAGGUUUCUAACCUGUGGAAGAUUGUUGUUAGUUUCAGAAAUGUCUCAGGGUCUUAAAGGAAUGGCAGCAGGGUUUUGCUUUGUAUUGGUUGCUUUUUUUACUCUGUUGCAGAGCUGAUGCUCACAAGCAUCAACACCUUCCAAGCACAAGCCAAAACUCCUGGGGAAGUGGAGCCAAGGGAAGAGCAGAGCUCUCUCCCUCUUCAAGCAUGCACUGGGCAAUGGAGCCAGAGAGUGUUAGGGCACGAGUGGUGCCCUGGAGGUGCAAGAGCAGCAGGCAAGAACAGAGCCCAAAGGAGAACCCUGAAAAAGGGCUGUGCUUAAUGCUACAGAGGACAAUCAGUAACCCCCUAGAGCUACCCUGGGAGUCAUGAAAGCUUCCUUCUCUCAGAUGCGGGGUGCAAGGGCCACCUUCCCUCUGCCAAAUUCUAGCUUCUGUUUUUCUUGCUUCCCACUGGAGUUAGAAGGAGAUUGUGAUGCCUCCUAAGAGCCUGCGCCUUCCCUGACUCCUGUCCACACUCACUGCUUGACACCCCCUCUCCUCCCUGAGGUGACCAACAAGAAGGGUGCCACACUUGAAAAGCAGAAGCAGACAUCUCCAAGAGCUCAUGGGACAUAUACUUUGAAAUGGUAGGGAAGGUCAUGGCAGCUGAAGACUACUGAGAUCAGCAGGUGGGCAAUGGAGUUGCCUGGCAGUGUGAUCACUGUCCUGAAAGGACUUCCUUGAGCAAGAAAGUAUACAGGGAAGCAAAUGAUGUCAAAAAGCAGUUACAGCUGAAUGAUCAUGUACUGUGAUAAAGCCAGGACCUUAACUUUGCCAUGGAGAGGACUGUGCAGGGACCAGGGAGCUAGGACCCCCAUAGGGCAAGACUGGGAAGAGACUUUGAGACCUCUCUGUGAAGUCACUUGAAGGCACAGAGAACAGAGCUUGCUUUGUAGGGGACAGGACAGGGUGUGAACAGAGCAGCGGACUGGACAAGCUGGGUGUCUAGUUUAUGUGUAUUGUUAACCUUUUUUGUCCCUAUACUCUGCUGGAAGCAUGAUGCAAGAUCAGACUCAGUAGUCCACACCAGGGAGUAAGAGCUCUGGAAAGGUCCCGUUAUCUUCCCCCACUUCUUGCUGUGCCAGUGCCAAAGCUCGUUCAGACACAGAAAUCUUCAGGAUCAGCCUGAACACUGCUUUUGGUUUGGGGAUUUUUGAAUUUUCUUUUUUGCCAGGUGACCUCAGUCCCAUUUGUUAUCUCCAUUUCUCCCCCACUCUUCUCAUUAUGGCAUACAACCUGUGUGUGUUGAAAGGCCGUAUGAACAAUUUAAGAAGAGCUUUCUCUGAAAUUUCACCCUAUCCUGGUAAACCACGAACAGCUGUCCCUUGGAUUUCCAUUCUUCUUUACUUUAACCCAUGGCCUGUAUACCCUUCACCAUCUGCAGUGGGAGUGAGGAAUAGUUCAGAAGGGAACCUUAAUUCAUAGGGGGAGCUGCCUUUUCCUUUUUUUUUCGUUUUCCUUCUCUUUUUUGCUUAGUUACUUCAUAAACUUUAGUUCCAGUUACCACUUAACUCUCAGCGGCAUUUCCAUAUCGCAGAGUUGUUGUUUCAUUCCAGGUUUUCAACAACUGAAAUAUAUCAUGGGAUUUUGUUGUAAUGCAGGAAAUUGCCUUCACAUUAACAAUCUGCCACUUCUGUAAACAAGAAAUCCACUGAUGUGACAUGUCAGCGCUCAACAGGAGGAGAACUGACUACCUUAGCAAAACGAUGCAUUCCUCAACGAAAACCCGGGUGUUGGGACAUGUAAUGACACGAUUGCCUUCACUUAUUUUUAGGGCAGGGGCUAGGUACCUGCUCAGAACAGUUGAAGGCAGAGGACGUGCACUGGACUCUCUCCAAGCCUGCUCUUUAUGUGCACUUUGCUCCCAAAGUUCCCCAAGGUCAUGGGGUUGCAUGUGGAGAUUUUUUUUUUCCCUUCCUUUAAUAGCAUAUUGAUGUGUACCAUAGUUGAUAAUAUAGCUUUUUUAGCCAAGCUCAGUUGUCUCUCACAUAGGCUGCUUAUUCUCUCCUGCUAGCACGGCUGCUUUGACUGUGUAAUGACAGCUGUGUGGAUAUAUGGACUGUGGCAAUGGGCUGCCAGCCACUUCAUUGUCAGCUCCUCUUUGUUCUCCCAGAAAAGAGGAGGCACAAUAGGGAAGGUUUCAUCCACAUGUCAGACAUAUGAGGGACAAAGGGAUGAUGGGAACUGACUGAACUACAUGAUCCAAGGCAAGCCAAGCAGCAUGCUUUUUCAGCUCCGUUUAGCAAUGGUGUGGUGGCCAGCCCUCGUGCAAUUGUAAUCAGCCAAUGAGCAAUUAAGCUCUGGGAAGGCCUCUAUGCUACCUUAGACCCUGCAGAAGGCCAUUUCACAUGGUCGGUCUUAGGGGACAUAUUAACCCUUUGCCCCUGAGCCACCUCUCGAGAUGGUGGUGGAUGUUCAGCAUGGGAGAAAGGCAGGAUUUGCUGAAGAGGUGGGACCUUUCCUCAGGACAGCUUGGCCCUCUUGGGAGGAAGCAGCAGUUCUCUGGCACACGCAAGUCUAAUCAGGUCUAAAGCAGGGAAGAAGCACACACCAAAGUGAAAUCUAGGUUGAGAAGAAUUGCUCUGGGAUUAACUGGAAAUGUUAAUCAGAUAAACUUCCUGAGAGAAAAUAUGGUUGGCACCUGUGGAGCAGAGGGGAUGCCAGUUAAGAGAGUAGUGGUAAGGUGGCUUUUCAAAUGGGAAGAGGGAAGAAGUAAUUUAAAGCCUGUGACACAGAUUAGUGGGAUGACAAAAAUUAUGAUCGCAUAAAAGUCAGUAUUUCUAUUGAGUCUGAACUUUUAAACAUUUGGUAGACAUAAGCCCCAUUGAAGGGUCCUUGUUUGAAAGUGUUAUACUUCAUCUAUUGCACAGUAUUUCCUGAGAGCUUUCACCGACUACAGCCAAAUAUGGGCCAUCUUAAGAGAAUCCCUUUCAGACCAUCUCCCCAGCCCAAUUUACAUGAGGUUUUCAUGGGAUGCUUCUGUCUAAAGAAGCUAAGGUCACAAGAGGUGAGAGGGAAAGACAAGAGAGGAUGGUAAAUUUAUGUGGGUUGGAUUUUUCAGCAGUCUCAUUUUUACUGCACUAUCUUGGCAUAAUUGUAAACCCUCAGGAAAGAUGGAUAUUAAAUCUAUAGAGAAUAUGACUGAUACAAUUUAGCAUAAUGAUUUUCAUCAGAAAGUACCUGUUGGUCAACUGGAACUUUUUGGAUGAAAGAGGUAAUAGAGAGGUGGUGGUUGUUCUUUUUUUUUUGUAAAGGAAGAAGAGAAAGUGUAGUUACAGUUGUUAAACUGAUGUGACAAGUGUGGUUUUGCAACUGAAUGCACAGCAAGUACCAGUGCAACUCUUCAUAAUUAGGCAUAUUUACAUUUUUGUCUGAAUCAAACACAAUCCAGAAUAUCCUAUCAAGAUUUUUAAUGCUAUCCUUAUUUGGAUCAGGAAACAUUUUGACAAUGUGAAAAAUCUCUGCAAACAGAUGUUAAAAAUACUGUGUCAGGAGCAUUGGUUUCCCAUGUCCCCAGACCAUGAGCUCUACCUAAGGUGGCAUCACAAUGUUAUGGAAUCCAUAUUCAGCUUUUAAAGAAGGCAAUGGUUUUAUUAAUCUUGGGCAAGGGGGGUUCAAAAAAGAUGUUGGUUCUACUUAGCUUUGAGAGGUUGGGGAAUUGUCACACAAUUGAGUACUUCAGCCUUUUGAAAUAAAAUUCUCUAGGAGCUGUGCUGUUAGGUAUAAUGCAGCCAAAGAAAAGGACAUAAAUAUAGUAAUAAUCAUUAAUAAUCAUACUACGUUACUA
Molecule: long non-coding RNA, 5037 nt
Organism: Pezoporus occidentalis (night parrot)
Lineage: Eukaryota; Metazoa; Chordata; Aves; Psittaciformes; Psittacidae
Exons: 2
Source: RefSeq, a predicted model, not a curated record